GUCCUUAUGCUAGGGUUAGAGCUUCUGACAGUGAGGAGAGAUCCGAGUCGAAGCAAUUGCUGAUUGCAAAAUACAAUCCUACCGUUGUAUUGCGUCUUCACAGACCGAUACACAAUUUCUGGAAACUGAACAUCCAU
Molecule: small nuclear RNA, 137 nt
Organism: Kwoniella mangroviensis CBS 10435
Lineage: Eukaryota; Fungi; Basidiomycota; Tremellomycetes; Tremellales; Cryptococcaceae
Rfam family: U4 spliceosomal RNA
About the family: U4 small nuclear RNA (U4 snRNA) is a component of the major U2-dependent spliceosome. The structure of U4 snRNA from yeast and human has been reported.
Source: Rfam